UAGGGAAUCUUCCGCAAUGGGCGAAAGCCUGCCGGAGCAACGCCGCGUGAGUGAUGACGGUCUUCGGAUCGUAAAACUCUGUUCUCAGGGAAGAACAAAUGUGUAAGUAACUAUGCACGUCUUGACGGUACCUAAUCAGAAAGCCACGGCUAACUACGUGCCAGCAGCCGCGGUAAUACGGAGGUGGCAAGCGUUAUCCGGAUUUAUUGGGCGUAAAGCGCGCGUAGGCGGUUUUUUAAGUCUGAUGUGAAAGCCGACGGCUCAACCGUGGGGGGUCAUUGGAGCCUGGAGAACUGGGGUGCAGAAGAGGAAAGGGGAAAUCGAGGUGUAGCGGUGAAAUGCGCAGAGAUAUGGAGGAACACCAGUGGGGAAGGAGACAUUCUGGUCUGAAACAGAAGCUGAUGUGCGAAAACGGGGGGAUCAGACAGG
This 429-nucleotide ribosomal RNA is filed under the name Actinomycetes bacterium. Its description in RNAcentral is "Actinobacteria bacterium partial 16S ribosomal RNA". It matches the Rfam family "Bacterial small subunit ribosomal RNA", at positions 355 to 776 of the family's 1533-position model. Lineage: Bacteria; Bacillati; Actinomycetota; Actinomycetes. The record is from RNAcentral.